CAGGUGCUGCAUGGCUGUCGUCAGCUCGUGUCGUGAGAUGUUCGGUUAAGUCCGCUAACGAGCGCAACCCUCGCUGUGUGUUACAAGUGUCACACGGAACUGCCGGUCAUAAACCGGAGGAAGGUGGGGAUGACGUCAAGUCAGCAUGACCUUUAUAUCCUGGGCUACACACACGCUACAAUGGGAAGGACAAUAGGUUGCGAAGCCGCGAGGCGGAGCCAAUCCAGCAAAACUUCCCUCAGUUCAGAUUGCAGGCUGCAACCCGCCUGCAUGAAGUUGGAGUUGCUAGUAAACGCAGGUCAGCCAUACUGCGUUGAAUACGUUCCCGGGGCUU
RNAcentral lists this ribosomal RNA (334 nucleotides) under uncultured Anaerolineaceae bacterium. RNAcentral describes it as "bacterial SSU rRNA". It matches the Rfam family "Bacterial small subunit ribosomal RNA", at positions 1035 to 1382 of the family's 1533-position model. Lineage: Bacteria; Bacillati; Chloroflexota; Anaerolineae; Anaerolineales; Anaerolineaceae. The record is from RNAcentral.